Molecule: ribosomal RNA, 253 nt
Filed under: uncultured bacterium
Lineage: Bacteria
Description: partial 16S ribosomal RNA
Rfam family: Bacterial small subunit ribosomal RNA
Source: RNAcentral
UACAGAGGGGGCAAGCGUUGUUCGGAAUUACUGGGCGUAAAGGGCGCGUAGGCGGCCUUCUAAGUCGAACGUGAAAUCCCUGGGCUCAACCCAGGAACUGCGUCCGAUACUGGAUAGCUAGAGUUCGGCAGAGGGAAGCGGAAUUUCCGGUGUAGCGGUGAAAUGCGUAGAUAUCGGAAGGAACAUCAGUGGCGAAAGCGGCUUCCUGGACCAGAACUGACGAUCAGGCACGAAAGCGUGGGGAGCAAACAGG